Molecule: ribosomal RNA, 377 nt
Filed under: uncultured bacterium
Lineage: Bacteria
Description: bacterial SSU rRNA
Rfam family: Bacterial small subunit ribosomal RNA
Source: RNAcentral
UAAUACGUAGGAGGCGAGCGUUAUCCGGAUUUACUGGGCGUAAAGAGCGCGUAGGCGGCUUUUCAAGUCGGAUGUAAAAUCUCCCGGCUCAACUGGGAGGGACCAUUCGAUACUGUUGGGCUAGAGGGCAGCAGAGGGAGAUGGAAUUCCCGGUGUAGUGGUGAAAUGCGUAGAUAUCGGGAGGAACACCAGUGGCGAAGGCGAUCUUCUGGGCUGUACCUGACGCUGAGGCGCGAAAGCGUGGGGAGCGAACAGGAUUAGAUACCCUGGUAGUCCACGCCGUCAACGAUGGACACUAGGUAUGGGGAGUAUCGACCCUCUCCGUGCCGAAGCUAACGCGUUAAGUGUCCCGCCUGGGGACUACGACCGCAAGGUUA